Molecule: long non-coding RNA, 5478 nt
Organism: Sebastes umbrosus (honeycomb rockfish)
Lineage: Eukaryota; Metazoa; Chordata; Actinopteri; Perciformes; Sebastidae
Exons: 2
Source: RefSeq, a predicted model, not a curated record
ACUCACAUCCUGAGCAAUUGCACGAAGAAAAACACGAAAUCUUAACUCAAUUAUCUGCCUCAUAUCGCGUUACGGUAUGUAAAAUAGCCUUAUAACAAGCUGAAGAUAGAUUUUUGUCCCUGAGACAUAGGUGCACCCUCUGGACAUGAUCUGUGCUCAUUACUAUAAAACUAUUGUGCCUUGUCCUUUAGGUACAUAUAAAGACAGAAUACACAUUUGCGAAGAAAAAAGACACACAAUAAGACACUCUGAUUGCUAAAUAAAGAGUGUGAACAUUAUUUAGGAUAAUUGUGAAUAAAACUACUUAUUUGCUCUAUGCACAUAUACACCCAUCACACAAAUAACGCCAUGUCAAUUUCUACAUUUUCCCUCCUUAUGUGUCCUGUAUUCCAUAUAUUUGCACAGGCUAAUAUACCUAUUAGCGUCUUCUAAUCACACCAGGUACCAUUCAUCAUAACCCCACACCUCUUACAAAAAUGUUAUGAUAGGCUACUGACAUCAUCUGGACACCCCGCUGCAGCCUGCUAAUCCCCCCGCUGCAAAUAUCCUCCUAACACACCAGGUCAGAGAGGCCAAAUCUGAGGUCUCAGAAGUCAGAGCUUUUUUUUUUUUUUUUUUUUUGCUUUAUGUGGUCAAAACGUGAAAUGACUGCAGCUUUAAAUAGGGACUGUAUUUAAAAAAAUGUCCCCUUGAGGUCAAAGGCCAUGCCCCUUCACAUUAAGGUGAAAGUUAAGCCACUUCCUGAUAAACAAUAAAAAAUGUGUUUUGUGGUCAUUUAGAUGCUUUAAAAUCAGAUGUCUUAGAAUAAAGAUAAUUGUGGAUGAUGGUAAACACAGUGAAGGAUGCCGUGCAUGUAAAUCAGUGGUUGCACCAGACAUGGUUAAUAUUGUUUUUAGGCUAUUUAAACAGCAGUAAAGACUGGUGUACUUUAUGCCCAGAGGCUAUCAAAGUUGAACUGCAGGUAAAACUUCACAGAGCCCUGCAGAUGAACCUAUAGCCUGUCUAUAGAGAGCAGCAGCAGCAGCAGCAUGCAUUGUGUCCCAGGAUGUAUUACAGUAUAUGGGUGCCCCCUAGCGUAUGAAGUUCUUGCUUCAAAUAAGAUUCAAUUUAGAGGAGCCAUCCGACACGGAAACUGCUUCAGUCUCUUUCUCCCGCAUCGACCAAACUAACGAGCACCAUUUUUUUUUUAAACUGAUGACUUUGUUUGUUUAAAUUCUGUUUUACAUGACUUGGAUGGCAAAGCUUUCAGAGUUGCCAAAGAAGUUGGAUUUACUUUUUUUUUUUUUUUUUUUUACCACUUCAGGCAGUCCCAGCGGUGGUAUUAUUUAGACCAAUUAUUUCUUUAUUCUAAAAAAAAACAAACAAAUGAGCCGAUUAUAUUUUGUCUGCAUGACUAUUUUGUCGGUUUUUAUUUACAAAAGAGGUGAAAAUGGAGAGUCUGUAAAUAAAAAAACAACACCCCCGAAAGGUGUAUCCAUUUAUCGAGGAGGAUCCUGCAGCUUCAAAUGAGUGAAAGUGGCCAAAGCUUCCUCUCCAGGAUGAAACACACAAAAAAAAGCACGCAGUUUAUUGGAAAAUUAGGUAAAAUGUCUUGAUCAUGCAAAAACUUUGGAGAUAUAGCCGGAAUAAACAACUGAUUCACGGUCAUGUGUUGUUGUUGAGGUGUCUUCCGAGCAGAAUAUCAUUUGACUGCCUUCUGGAAAUAAUCAGUAAGGUUUUUACAGCGAAAGCAGAGAGAUCCUGUGCGCCUUUUCUCUCCUCUACAGUAUAAUAAUAUGGCCAAAACGCGCUGCUUUGUGUGGGCUGCUGAGGAGAGAGGGAGGGGGUGAAGUCACAACAGACACCUGUCUGUCUGUCUUUAAGUGAGGCGAGCAUGCAUUGUGACAUAUUACUAAUUAUACUGGAGAUUGGGAGUAUAAAGAUGCAAUAAGAUAUGUGAUUAGAGCUGUAAUUAAAACUGCUAAAAAAUUUAAUUUUAUUGUAAAAAAUAAACGUGCAUAAAUUGAGCCAAUAAAAAACUGAUAUUAUUAUUAUUAAUUUUCUUUAAUUAAUAUUAAUAAUUAUAAUAAAACAAAUUAAACAUCAUACAAAUAAUAAAUAAUAUAUAUAUAUUUUUUUUACAGCUUCACCUCUAGCAAUUACACACAAUGCAGAGAAUAAGAAUGCCUAUAUAAUUAAAUGAUAAUAGCCUCAAUUAACCUCGCGUAAAUCUAUACUGGGUUGAGAAAUUGAACACCUUUUUUUUCCACGCAUAAACAUUUCCACACCAGCACAAUUGAUUUGCUAUUAAACCCCCCUCCAGAAGAAAUCUUGUGCUGCAGUUUUUUUUAUUCCCCGGGUUUAAAAGUUUCCUCUCUGUGUGAUUAGUAGCUGUUCUCUCUCUUCAAGCAAGAGGAUAAAAAGCACUAUAUGCUCAGCGAGCACACAACACAACAAUAGCGCAUGCAGCCCAACGGGACCAGUAUCGAUUAAGACGAGAAAGAGGAUGUCGCCUGCACUAAAUAUUUACUGAUCACACACAAAUAGCUGGAUCUUUAACGAUUUCCCAUGCUCCCUGGCUGGGAGAGAGGACUAAAUCACUUUAUUAUUGUUAGUAAAACAAAGCACACGCGCUGGAACACAGGAGUGGAGAUGUGCUGAUUGGGAUAAGUGCAGUUAAAUUAAUCGAUAGCGAGGAGAUAAUAAGUUGAGAUUUACGGGCGUGCAAAGAAAAAGCUUUCACUCAUGUAUCAGGUUAAAAAAGACACAUUGGUAAUUCCUCUUAUACAGCCAAACGCGCGCGUAAAAACUGCGUUUAAAGGCAACAGAUUGGAGACAAAAACUACACAACUAUCAGAGUGGAUUGGGUUAAAAAUUCUUGCAUAUAAUUUUUUUUUUUUUUUUUAGAUGAUCUAAAAAUAAAAAUGAGUGUGCUGAUGAAAGAAGGAAACCCCUGUCACACUGGUGUAAAAAAGUCAAAAACUUGGGAUGAAAGUUGACUUUAAUCUCAUCUCUCGCCUCCAGCAAGUCCUUCAUGCAGAUAGGAGGGUUUCUGACCUGGAGGUCUCCAAGUUCCCAACCUGAUUAACCCCUCCAGACCCGCGCAGUAGCAAAUGUUAACCAUGCUAAUCAACUUCAAGAGUCUGAUUGAAUUAGAUGACUGGGGUGGAAUCAGGACUGAAAAUAAAUUGUGCCACUUAAAAAAAACACCACGAAGAGAAAUGUUUUUGACUUAAUUUAAAUUAACAUAAUAUAUAUAUAUAUAUAUAUAUAUAAAAUAGAGGAAUUAAUUCCAGAUGACUUGUUAAACAGGCAACAGGUUUCAGUUGUUUAAAAAAUUAAUACAAUUAAACAUUUCAAUAUUCAAAACUCUCUUUAAAACAACCACAAAUAGUUUUUUUCUCCUGUUUGAUAAAGAUCACUUGAUUGAUGUUGGUUGUGCCCCAUAUGUCAUAACAGUUUUAUCUGCUGCAUAGCAUCAUAUCAGUAGUAAAGGCGUUAUCUCUCCUCUCUUUAUAGUAGUGUUGUGAUGUUGCAAAUAUGCAAAGAUGAAAAAAAAAACUACACCAAUUAGUGAAAUGUGUGCUUGUACAUUUAGGCUUCAUUUAGGUAAAGAAUAUUUGCUGACAUAAUUAAAGUUUGAAGAAGUUACUUUAGACUCAUAUAGCAAGAUAAUCACAGGAAGAAAUAUAUAAGCUAAAUCUUCUCAGAUAAAUUUAUUUUAACAUCUUAAUUUGCAUGAUAAAAAAAUAUUUGACGAUGGGCAUAAAAGCAGUGAUAUUUAGAGAAUUUUUUGACAUACAGGUUUCAUCGUGAUGCCGUGUGCAUAUUCUUAUAGUUUUCUUUUGAGCCGACUUUCUUUCUUCGUGAUUGAAUCCGUAACUCUUAAACAUGGCUUUUACAGUCUUUAAUGACUAAAGUAUGACUUGUCCUUUAAAUUAUGUUUCUGUCUGUUUGACUUCUUAAUAAUAUGUAAUUACAGAAAAUUGCAUUCCAUUACCACAGUUAACACCCCCUUAUUGUAAAUAUGGUGUGUGUAAGCGAUUUGAUUGUAUGCAUGCACACGUAAGCUAUACAGAAGCAUGUACUGUAUGUGAGAAAAAAUGGGUCUAACAUUCACCUUUCUAUGCGUCAGUGGAAGCAGACAUACGUGUCUUAGAUGAGACAUAAAGAGUUCAUUCAGUGGCGUAGAUCACUUUCACUGUGUCUGCAUGCCCCGAGGCCCGCUAUCUAAAAAGGCAAUAGAUCCCAGAUAACUCACUGUGUUCAAUUUGCCAAUGAUAGAUUAUAGUGCCAAUUUACACAGAUAGGGAUCAAUUUGUCUCAAUGAUCACUCUUUAGGCUGACUGCCAGCGUGCUCUUAAUGUAUUUGUAAAUGCUGGUUGUUUGAAUGGCGGCUGUUAAAGUGAUCAAAACUGUAGAGAUGAUAUGAGAAAUGAUAAAUGAGGUGUUGUUUUGGCUGCUAAAGACUGCAUUGAUGGAGCACACACGUGAUGAUUACUGGAGGCAGCAGCAUUUGCAGCAGCAGUGACCAGAAGGUCAACGGUUUAACUCCAAGAACUCGCUGGGAAAGUCUGGGUGGGGGAAUUGUGUGAUAAGUGCUCUCUAACCCUCAGGAACUACUGCUGAAGUACCCUUCGGCAAAGCAGCUUAAACCCCAUCUGUCCCAGCGGAGCUGCACAGCGACCGGCGGUACAAGACGGCGGUUGUACCGGCCACUUGUGAGAUGUGUCUCUUUGAGUGUGACCUACCCUCCCUUUUCUUUUUAAAAAAGAGGGAGAGUGGGCAGUCCACUCGCCUCACACUUUUUUUUUCUCUCCAUGUACUCAGACAGUGAAAAAGUUUUGGAGAAGACACAAGAGAGAGAAAGCUGUGGCAGCAUUCGGUCCUGAGCCAGACACGGUUCACAUGUGGCCCCAACGGCAGCAGACGGUGUAUUGAAUUACUGUAACUCAAGGUGUAAUGUGGUAGCAGUGUGGGAUAUGUAAGAGUUACACAAACGGAUGUGGAGGAGGCUCGCUCGAGCUUCAGCUUUCUAUUACAGCUAUAACUUUGUUUUCUUAAAUUCCAGCUAUAACCAUUCAACUGAUUGAAAUGGAAACCACACUUUCUAUAGUGAUCAUCAAUGUCUCAUUAUCAUUAGAUUCACCAAUUGUAUCAAACUGCUGAUGUUAUGUGAAAACCUUGUAUCUCUGUUUUAUAGGGUUAAAGAAUUACAUGGUUUGUAGGACGAGGAGAAAACACUUCAAAGCCCGCUGGAUCAACUCAUAAAGCAUGUUAGUAAACUUAAAACCUUCUUAUGUGCUGUGUAUAAUCGCAAUUUGCAGUGUCACACCUGCCACAUCUAUAUAAUAAAGUUUGAAGACAUGAUAUGAGCUGUGUUUUAAUUGAUUUUCUUCAUAAGGUACCUAAUGUCGUGCACUUGCAUUUCAAGAAUUGAUUUUUCCAGUUUUACGAUAUUUUACUGUAAAUGUGUAAAUAAAGCUUUUCUUUCUUUCA